RNAcentral lists this ribosomal RNA (400 nucleotides) under uncultured bacterium. Its description in RNAcentral is "bacterial SSU rRNA". It matches the Rfam family "Bacterial small subunit ribosomal RNA", at positions 355 to 770 of the family's 1533-position model. The record is from RNAcentral.
UGGGGAAUAUUGGGCAAUGGGGGAAACCCUGACCCAGCAACGCCGCGUGAAGGAAGAAGGUCUUCGGAUUGUAAACUUCUUUGAUCAGGGACGAAGAAAUGACUGUACCUGAAGAACAAGUCACGGCUAACUACGUGCCAGCAGCCGCGGUAAUACGUAGGUGGCAAGCGUUAUCCGGAUUUACUGGGUGUAAAGGGCGUGUAGGCGGGUCUGCAAGUCAGAUGUGAAAUCUCCGGGCUUAACUCGGAAGUGUCAUCUGAAACUACGGAUCUUGAGUACUGGAGAGGAUAGUGGAAUUCCUAGUGUAGCGGUAAAAUGCGUAGAUAUUAGGAGGAACACCAGUGGCGAAGGCGGCUAUCUGGACAGUAACUGACGCUGAGGCGCGAAAGCGUGGGGAGCA